Dermochelys coriacea (leatherback sea turtle) is the source of this 153-nucleotide long non-coding RNA. RefSeq lists it as uncharacterized. The record is from RefSeq and is a predicted model, not a curated record. NCBI's taxonomy places the organism in Eukaryota, Metazoa, Chordata, Testudines, Dermochelyidae. The transcript has 2 exons.
CCUUUUGGUCAAUUUCACAUUCAUAGAAUCAUAGAACUGGAAGGUAUCUUGAGAGGUCAUCUAGUCCAGUCCCCUGAACUCAAGGCAGGACUAAGUAUUAUCUACACCAUCCCUGACAGGAGUUUGUCGAACCUGCUCUUAAAGAUCUCCAAU